Molecule: ribosomal RNA, 466 nt
Filed under: uncultured bacterium
Lineage: Bacteria
Description: SSU rRNA
Rfam family: Bacterial small subunit ribosomal RNA
Source: RNAcentral
AGAACGAACGCUGGCGGCGUGGAUAAGACAUGCAAGUCGAACGGAGCAUUCUGGUAGCAAUAUCAGGAUGCUUAGUGGCAAACGGGUGCGUAACACGUGGAUUACAUUCCAGAAAGCGCGGGAUAGCCCAGGGAAACUUGGAUUAAUACCGCAUGUGGUCGCAAGACUAAAGGCGCAAGCCGCUUUCUGAUUGGUCCGCGGCCUAUCAGCUAGUUGGUGAGGUAAAAGCUCACCAAGGCGACGACGGGUAGCUGGUCUGAGAGGACGACCAGCCACACUGGAACUGAGACACGGUCCAGACACCUACGGGUGGCAGCAGUCGAGAAUCUUUCACAAUGGGGCAACCCUGAUGGAGCGACGCCGCGUGGAGGAUAAGGUCUUCGGAUUGUAAACUCCUGUCAUGCGAGAGCAAGACAUGGCAACAUGUUUGAUAGUAUCGCAAGAGGAAGAGACGGCUAACUCUGUG